RNAcentral lists this ribosomal RNA (253 nucleotides) under uncultured bacterium. RNAcentral describes it as "partial 16S ribosomal RNA". It matches the Rfam family "Bacterial small subunit ribosomal RNA", at positions 524 to 776 of the family's 1533-position model. The record is from RNAcentral.
UACGUAGGGGGCGAGCGUUGUCCGGAAUCAUUGGGCGUAAAGCGCGUGUAGGCGGUCCGGUAAGUCCGCUGUGAAAGUCGGGGGCUCAACCCUCGGAUGCCGGUGGAUACUGUCGGGCUUGAGUACGGAAGAGGCGAGUGGAAUUCCUGGUGUAGCGGUGAAAUGCGCAGAUAUCAGGAGGAACACCAAUUGCGAAGGCAGCUCGCUGGGACGUUACUGACGCUGAGACGCGAAAGCCAGGGGAGCGAACGGG